AUUGAACGCUGGCGGCAGGCCUAACACAUGCAAGUCGGACGGUAGCACAGAGAGCUUGCUCUCGGGUGACGAGUGGCGGACGGGUGAGUAAUGUCUGGGGAUCUGCCCGAUAGAGGGGGAUAACCAGUGGAAACGGUGGCUAAUACCGCAUAACGUCGCAAGACCAAAGAGGGGGACCUUCGGGCCUCUCACUAUCGGGUGAACCCAGAUGGGAUUAGCUAGUAGGCGGGGUAAUGGCCCACCUAGGCGACGAUCCCUAGCUGGUCUGAGAGGAUGACCAGCCACACUGGAACUGAGACACGGUCCAGACUCCUACGGGAGGCAGCAGUGGGGAAUAUUGCACACUGGGCGCAAGCCUGAUGCAGCCAUGCCGCGUGUAUGAAGAAGGCCUUCGGGUUGUAAAGUACUUUCAGCGGGGAGGAAGGCGGUGCGGUUAAUAACCGCGCCGAUUGACGUUACCCGCAGAAGAAGCACCGGCUAACUCCGUGCCAGCCGCCGCAGUAA
Molecule: ribosomal RNA, 504 nt
Filed under: uncultured bacterium
Lineage: Bacteria
Description: partial 16S ribosomal RNA
Rfam family: Bacterial small subunit ribosomal RNA
Source: RNAcentral